Molecule: long non-coding RNA, 494 nt
Filed under: Phasianus colchicus (ring-necked pheasant)
Lineage: Eukaryota; Metazoa; Chordata; Aves; Galliformes; Phasianidae
Description: lncRNA (ENSPCLG00000012569.1)
Source: RNAcentral
AAGCUGCAGCUGUGAUGUAGCAGGGUGUCAGAAUUGUGCUUGCACACUCUCUCAUCAGAUUCUCCAGGAAUACCACAAACAGGUUCUGCAUAGGCCUGAGAGGCUGACCUGAGGUCUGUAUGCUAGUAAUGCAAUCGGCUGAAGAGAAUCAAUAUCAACAGGUGGAUCAUGAACAUGUGGGAGUGCAUACAGCACCUCUGACAAGUCGAAACACCUUCAGAAUAGAAGUCUGAAAAAAUGUCUUCAGUUUUUACACAUCACAUAUGGGGAGAUAUUUAAUACAAUCAAAGGAAUCAAAGAGAAAGUGCUCCUUGAGCUGGUGAGGAGUCUCUACUGGUGAAGAAAGGUUUGCUAGUGAUAGUUAAUUCUGCUUUCUGCCUUCAGUGUAAGAACGUUCUUAAUAGUGCUGAGCUAAUAUAUUUUCAUAACUUGGCAUUUAAUUCACUGCAUACCAAGUGUAUCUUUGAUUUUUUAUCAACACUGCUAUAUAUUUU